UCCCUGGUAGCUCAGAUGGUAAAGAAUCUGCCUGCAAUGCAGAAGACCUGGGUUUGACCCCUGGUUGGGAAG
This 72-nucleotide transfer RNA is filed under the name Bos taurus (domestic cattle). It matches the Rfam family "tRNA". From Rfam's summary of the family: Transfer RNA (tRNA) molecules are approximately 80 nucleotides in length. The record is from Rfam by way of RNAcentral. Lineage: Eukaryota; Metazoa; Chordata; Mammalia; Artiodactyla; Bovidae.